AUGAAGAUGCCCAUUGGAGCUUUCAUCACGUUCUUGUGGCUGCAGCUGGACUGUGUCAGCCUUGGAGAGAAGGUGGAGCAAAGUCCUUCUACCCUGAGUGUCCAGGAGGGAAACAGCUCUGUUAUCACCUGUACUUACACAGACACUACUUCAGACUACUUCCCUUGGUAUAAGCAAGAACCUGGAAAAGGUCCCCAGUUCCUUAUAGACAUUCGUUCAAACACAGGCAAUAAUGAAGACCGAAGACUGACUGUUUUAUUGAAUAGGACAGCCAAACGUGUCUCCCUGAACAUCACAGCCACCCAACCUGAAGACUCAGCUGUCUACUUCUGUGCAGCAAGUACACAUUGCUUCCCAGAUACCUGCUACCUGUACUCAAACCUGUGA
This is a non-coding RNA of Hippopotamus amphibius kiboko, 387 nucleotides long. Lineage: Eukaryota; Metazoa; Chordata; Mammalia; Artiodactyla; Hippopotamidae. The record is from the annotation of a RefSeq genome assembly.